This 253-nucleotide ribosomal RNA is filed under the name uncultured prokaryote. RNAcentral's name for it is "partial 16S ribosomal RNA". It matches the Rfam family "Bacterial small subunit ribosomal RNA", at positions 524 to 776 of the family's 1533-position model. The record is from RNAcentral.
UACGUAGGGUGCGAGCGUUGUUCGGAAUUACUGGGUGUAAAGGGUCCGCAGGCGGGCGAGCAAGUCGGUGGUGAAAGUUCAUGGCUUAACUGUGAAAUUGCCUUCGAUACUGCUCGUCUUGAGUUCGAGAGAGGAUGAUGGAAUUCAUGGUGUAGCAGUGAAAUGCGUAGAUAUCAAGAGGAACACCUGCGGCGAAGGCGGGUUGCUGGGCCGACACUGACGCUGAGGCGCGAAAGCUAGGGGAGCGAACGGG